UACGUAGGGGGCAAGCGUUGUCCGGAUUUAUUGGGCGUAAAGAGCGUGUAGGCGGCUUUACAGGUCCGUUGUGAAAACUCGAGGCUCAACCUCGAGACGCCGGUGGAAACCGUAAAGCUAGAGUCCGGAAGAGGAGAGUGGAAUUCCUGGUGUAGCGGUGAAAUGCGCAGAUAUCAGGAAGAACACCAGUGGCGAAGGCGGCUCACUGGCCCGGUACUGACGCUGAGGCACGAAAGCGUGGGGAGUAAACAGG
This 253-nucleotide ribosomal RNA is filed under the name uncultured bacterium. RNAcentral's name for it is "partial 16S ribosomal RNA". It matches the Rfam family "Bacterial small subunit ribosomal RNA", at positions 524 to 776 of the family's 1533-position model. The record is from RNAcentral.